Molecule: ribosomal RNA, 466 nt
Filed under: uncultured bacterium
Lineage: Bacteria
Description: partial 16S ribosomal RNA
Rfam family: Bacterial small subunit ribosomal RNA
Source: RNAcentral
GACGAACGCUGGCGGCGUGCUUAACACAUGCAAGUCGAACGGAAAGGCCCUGCUUGCAGGGUACUCGAGUGGCGAACGGGUGAGUAACACGUGGGUGAUCUGCCCUGCACUUCGGGAUAAGCUUGGGAAACUGGGUCUAAUACCGGAUAGGAACCAUCUUUAGUGUGGUGGUUGGAAAGUUUUUUCGGUGUAGGAUGAGCUCGCGGCCUAUCAGCUUGUUGGUGGGGUAAUGGCCUACCAAGGCGGCGACGGGUAGCCGGCCUGAGAGGGUGUACGGCCACAUUGGGACGGAGAUACGGGCCAGACUCCUACCGGAGGCAGCAAUGGGGAAUAUUGAACAAUGGGCGCAAGCCUGAUGCAGCGACGCCGCGUGGGGGAUGAAGGCCUUCGGGUUGUAAACUCCUUUCGCUAGGGACGAAGCUUUGUUGUGACGGUACCUAGAUAAGAAGCACCGGCUAACUACGUG